Molecule: ribosomal RNA, 397 nt
Filed under: uncultured bacterium
Lineage: Bacteria
Description: partial 16S ribosomal RNA
Rfam family: Bacterial small subunit ribosomal RNA
Source: RNAcentral
AUACGUAGGGGGCGAGCGUUGUCCGGAAUGAUUGGGCGUAAAGGGCGCGUAGGCGGCCCGGUAAGUCUGGAGUGAAAGUCCUGUUUUUAAGAUGGGAAUUGCUUUGGAUACUGUCGGGCUUGAGUGCAGGAGAGGUAAGUGGAAUUCCCAGUGUAGCGGUGAAAUGCGUAGAGAUUGGGAGGAACACCAGUGGCGAAGGCGACUUACUGGACUGUAACUGACGCUGAGGCGCGAAAGUGUGGGGAGCAAACAGGAUUUGAUACCCUGGUAGUCCACACUGUAAACGAUGAAUGCUAGGUGUAGGGGGUAUCGACCCCUUCUGUGCCGCAGUCAACACAAUAAGCAUUCCGCCUGGGGAGUACGGCCGCAAGGUUGAAACUCAAAGGAAUUGACGGGG